AAACUAUUUAAGGAGGAUCAAUUGGAGGGCAAGUCUGGUGCCAGCAGCCGCGGUAAUUCCAGCUCCAAUAGGAUAUAUCAAAGUUGUUGCAGUUAAAAAGCUCGUAGUUGAAUGUCUGUUGGGUUUUCGUUGGCCCCGGGCAGGCGGGUAGAAAUACCCCCGGUCCGUGCGGUCCGCCCGACAUCCUGAGGGUUCGCCUUUGCGCGCGGUGGUUCACUCUGUCCGCGCGCGGGUCCCACUCCGUUACUGAGAGCAAAUUGGAGUGCUCAAAGCAGGCCUUACGGCUUUGAACAUAUUAGCUUGGAAUAACAAGACAGGACGUCGUUCUAUUUUGUUGGUUCACAGAAUGAGGUAAUGAUUAACAGGAACAGCUGCGGGGGUACUCGUAUUUGACAGUCAGAGGUGAAAUUCUUGGAUUUGUCAAAGACGAACGACUGCGAAAGCAUUUACCAAGGAUGUUUUCAUUAAUCAAGAACGAAAGUUUGGGGAUCGAAGAUGAUUAGAUACCAUCGUAGUCCAAACCAUAAACGAUGCCGACUCGGGAUUGGCGCACGAUUUGAUUAUCCGCGCCAGCACCGUAUGAGAAAUCAAAGUCUUUGGGUUCCGGGGGGAGUAUGGUCGCAAGGCUGAAGCUUAAAGGAAUUGACGGAAGGGCACACCAGAGGUGGAGCCUGCGGUUUAAUUUGACCCAACACGGGGAAACUUACCAGGUCCUGACAUGAUGAGGAUUGACAGUUUGAAAGCACUUUCUUGAUUUCAUGGGUGGUGGUGCAUGGCCGUUCUUAGUUGGUGGAGUGAUUUGUCUGGUUGAUUCCGAUAACGAACGAGACGGGGGGACUUAACUGGUCGUGUGUCGUAAUUCGCGUUACUUCCGGCCUCUUAUGUCGACAACUCGGUUUUACCGAGAGGAAGCGCCCCGCAAUAACAGGUCUGUGAUGCCCUUAGAUGUUCUGGGCUACACGCGCGCUACAAUGACGAGUUCAACGAGUUUGUAUCUCCUUGCCCGGAAGGGUUCGGUAAUCUUUUCAAUGCUCGUCGUGAUGGGGCUAGAUCUUUGCAAUUAUUAAUCUUCAACGAGGAAUCUCUAGUAUGUGCAGUUCAUCAGACUGCGCAGAAUGCGUCCCUGCCCUUUGUACACACCGCCCGUCGCACCUACCGAUUGGACGAUCCGGCAAGAUGUUUGGAGUGGGUCUCUCGUGCUUGCAUGGGAAAUCUGCAAAGCUCCUCAAACC
Molecule: ribosomal RNA, 1232 nt
Filed under: metagenome
Description: SSU rRNA
Rfam family: Eukaryotic small subunit ribosomal RNA
Source: RNAcentral